This is a small nuclear RNA of Callithrix jacchus (white-tufted-ear marmoset), 163 nucleotides long. Its record names the gene U1. It matches the Rfam family "U1 spliceosomal RNA". Rfam says of the family: U1 is a small nuclear RNA (snRNA) component of the spliceosome (involved in pre-mRNA splicing). Its 5' end forms complementary base pairs with the 5' splice junction, thus defining the 5' donor site of an intron. The record is from Ensembl. Lineage: Eukaryota; Metazoa; Chordata; Mammalia; Primates; Cebidae.
AUAUUUACCUGGCAGGGGAGGUAUCAUGAUCACGAAGGUGGUUUUCCCAGGGCAAGGCUUAUUCGUUGCACUCCAGAUGUACUGACCCCUGUGAUUUCCCCAAAUGUGGGAAACUCGACUGCAUAAUUGUGGUAGUGGGGGACUUCGUUCAUGCUUUCCCCUG